This 508-nucleotide ribosomal RNA is filed under the name uncultured bacterium. Its description in RNAcentral is "partial 16S ribosomal RNA". It matches the Rfam family "Bacterial small subunit ribosomal RNA", at positions 28 to 507 of the family's 1533-position model. The record is from RNAcentral.
GACGAACGCUGGCGGCGUGCCUAAUACAUGCAAGUCGAACGCUUCUUUCCUCCCGAGUGCUUGCACUCAAUUGGAAAGAGGAGUGGCGGACGGGUGAGUAACACGUGGGUAACCUACCCAUCAGAGGGGGAUAACACUUGGAAACAGGUGCUAAUACCGCAUAACAGUUUAUGCCGCAUGGCAUAAGAGUGAAAGGCGCUUUCGGGUGUCGCUGACGGAUGGACCCGCGGUGCAUUAGCUAGUUGGUGAGGUAACGGCUCACCAAGGCCACGAUGCAUAGCCGACCUGAGAGGGUGAUAGGCCACAUGGGGACUGAGACACGGCCCUGACUCCUACGGGAGGCAGCAGUAGGGAAUCUUCGGCAAUGGACGAAAGUCUGACCGAGCAGCGCCGCGUGAGUGAAGAAGGUUUUCGGAUCGUAAAACUCUGUUGUUAGAGAAGAACAAGGACGUUAGUAACUGAACGUCCCCUGACGGUAUCUAACCAGAAAGCCACGGCUAACUACGUG